Molecule: ribosomal RNA, 543 nt
Filed under: uncultured fungus
Lineage: Eukaryota; Fungi
Description: SSU rRNA
Rfam family: Eukaryotic small subunit ribosomal RNA
Source: RNAcentral
UGAUUAAUAGGGACAGUCGGGGGCAUCAGUAUUCAAUUGUCAGAGGUGAAAUUCUUGGAUUUAUUCGAANACUAACUACUGCGAAAGCAUUUGCCAAGGCAUGUUUUCAUUAAUCAGGAACGAAAGUUAGGGGAUCGAAGACGAUCAGAUACCGUCGUAGUCUUAACCAUAAACUAUGCCGAUUAGGGAUCGGACGAUGUUAUUUUUUGACUCGUUCGGCACCUUACGAUAAAUCAAAAUGUUUGGGCUCCUGGGGGAGUAUGGUCGCAAGGCUGANACUUAAAGAAAUUGACGGAAGGGCACCACCAGGGGUGGAGCCUGCGGCUUAAUNUGACUCANCACGGGGAAACUCACCAGGUCCAGACACGAUGAGGAUUGACAGAUUGAGAGCUCUUUCUUGAUCUCGNGGGUGGUGGUGCAUGGCCGUUCUUAGUUGGUGGAGUGAUUUGUCAGCUUANUNGCGAUAACGAACGAGACCUUAACCUGCUAAAUAGCCCGUAUUGCNUUGGCAGUACGCCGGCUUCUUAUAGGGACUAUCGGCUC